AACGAACGCUGGCGGCAUGCCUAACACAUGCAAGUCGAACGAUGCCUCCGGGCAUAGUGGCGCACGGGUGCGUAACGCGUGGGAAUCUGCCCUUGGGUUCGGAAUAACUCGCCGAAAGGCGAGCUAAUACCGGAUGAUGACGUAAGUCCAAAGAUUUAUCGCCCAAGGAUGAGCCCGCGUAGGAUUAGCUAGUUGGUGGGGUAAAGGCCCACCAAGGCAACGAUCCUUAGCUGGUCUGAGAGGAUGAUCAGCCACACUGGGACUGAGACACGGCCCAGACUCCUACGGGAAGCAGCAGUGGGGAAUAUUGGACAAUGGGCGAAAGCCUGAUCCAGCAAUGCCGCGUGAGUGAUGAAGGCCUUAGGGUUGUAAAGCUCUUUUACCCGGGAUGAUAAUGACAGUACCGGGAGAAUAAGCUCCGGCUAACUCCGUG
RNAcentral lists this ribosomal RNA (433 nucleotides) under uncultured bacterium. RNAcentral describes it as "partial 16S ribosomal RNA". It matches the Rfam family "Bacterial small subunit ribosomal RNA", at positions 29 to 507 of the family's 1533-position model. The record is from RNAcentral.